This is a long non-coding RNA of Lactuca sativa (garden lettuce), 618 nucleotides long. RefSeq lists it as uncharacterized. The record is from RefSeq and is a predicted model, not a curated record. NCBI's taxonomy places the organism in Eukaryota, Viridiplantae, Streptophyta, Magnoliopsida, Asterales, Asteraceae.
GUUAAUUCUACAUCAAGCCGGCGUUACAUGAGACGUUUGCGGGUCUAACGAAAAUAGAAUUAAACAAGAGGAGAACAAUUUACGAAAUAAAGCCCUAAUCCUAUUCCAUUGCUGAAUUCCUGUAAAUCAAAGAAGCAAAUAUGCUGAGAACGAGGUUGGUAUGGUUUACGUUUGGUUUCGCUUCCACAGCUGCUAUCAUGUCUCAGUUUGUCUACAAAGAUCUCUUGCUCGAUCGUCACUCUCUUUCUCUCCAGUUGAAGCAGCAGUUUGAUUCUUUGGAGUCCCGUGUCUCAAAUCUCGAAUCAGUAUCUCCCAAGGAUUAACAUUCCAAAUUUUGAAGACCUUGCUUUUUGGUUUACUCGAUUUCUUGUAUGUCACUUCCUAAUCUGCCAAGUAGAUGUUUUGGCACUUCAUUUGGCAUACUUGUGUUCCUUAUUUUGAAAAACAUAGCGGUUUUCUAUUAAAAAAAAAGAAAAAAAGAAGAUAGGUGUGUUGGAGAAAUGACUUUGAUCAAGAAAUAAUCUCUUUGAAAUAUGCUUCUGAUUUCAUCAUAUGGAGGAUUACUAUAUGAUUAUAGUGAUUACAUGCAUAUAAUGAAUUCAAUCGUACUUUGAGAUA